GACGAACGCUGGCGGCGUGCUUAACACAUGCAAGUCGAACGGAAAGGCCCUGCUUUUGUGGGGUGCUCGAGUGGCGAACGGGUGAGUAACACGUGAGUAACCUGCCCUUGACUUUGGGAUAACUUCAGGAAACUGGGGUUAAUAUCGGAUAGGAGCUCCCGCUGCAUGGUGGGGGUUGGAAAGUCUCGGCGGUUGGGGUUGGACUCGCGGCUUAUCAGCUUGUUGGUGGGGUAGUGGCUUACCAAGGCUUUGACGGGUAGCCGGCCUGAGAGGGUGACCGGCCACAUUGGGACUGAGAUACGGCCCAGACUCCUACGGGAGGCAGCAGUGGGGAAUAUUGCACAAUGGGCGGAAGCCUGAUGCAGCAACGCCGCGUGCGGGAUGACGGCCUUCGGGUUGUAAACCGCUUUCGCCUGUGACGAAGCGUGAGUGACGGUAAUGGGUAAAGAAGCACCGGCUAACUACGUG
RNAcentral lists this ribosomal RNA (468 nucleotides) under uncultured bacterium. RNAcentral's name for it is "partial 16S ribosomal RNA". It matches the Rfam family "Bacterial small subunit ribosomal RNA", at positions 28 to 507 of the family's 1533-position model. The record is from RNAcentral.